RNAcentral lists this long non-coding RNA (736 nucleotides) under Olea europaea subsp. europaea. The record is from RNAcentral. Lineage: Eukaryota; Viridiplantae; Streptophyta; Magnoliopsida; Lamiales; Oleaceae.
CCUAUUGGAGUCAUUACUACCAAUUCAUUAUCUAAAGGCUCUGACAUUUGAUUAGCAUAGCUAGCAAGUAUGUGAGAAAUAAAGGAAUGCAUAGCACCCGAAUCAAUCAAAGAACGAGCAUUUCUACCAAAAAUAGAUAACAUACUCACUACCACAUCUGGUGACUCCUCUGCCUCCUGCUGUGUCAUAGCAAACACCUUGCCCUAAGUCCUGAAUCGACCUGGGCUCCCUGUCUAAAAGCACUACCCCUAGCAGCAUUAGAUUGUGUGGCCCCCAUCGACCCUGCUGAUGGAGCUCUUUGAUCCCUGUUCUGUCUAGUCAUAUCGAUCCCUGGCUGAGGAGAUACUAUCUGAGAUGCUCCAAUCUGUUGAGAGCUGGCUGGACAAUCUUUCCUUAUGUGUCCCAUCUGACCACACUGAUAACAAACUCCAGCCCCUCGAAGACACUUGCCUGGAUGAAACUUCCCACAAGAUUGGCACUGUGGAAAGCUCUGAUAAUCAGAAGCCUCACUCUGCAUCGCUCCUCGAAUUCUCUGUGAAGGACCCUGCACAUAAGAAUGGCUUCCCACUGACUGUUGUCCAAAACUCUGACUAUGUCUUGAUCCCUAACUAGAGCUAGAACUCCCAGACUUAGAUUUAAAACUGCUAGAUUUAGUACCUGGCCAAAAUCCUUUUCUGUUCUUCUUGAACCUUUCUCAUGAAGCUCCUGAUUGACUACUACCACCUCGAAAGGUCAC